Molecule: transfer RNA, 71 nt
Filed under: Entransia fimbriata
Lineage: Eukaryota; Viridiplantae; Streptophyta; Klebsormidiophyceae; Entransiales; Entransiaceae
Description: tRNA-Gly
Rfam family: tRNA
About the family: Transfer RNA (tRNA) molecules are approximately 80 nucleotides in length.
Source: RNAcentral
GCGGGUAUAGAUUAAAGGAAAAUUGUCUGCCUUCCAAGCAGAGGAUAUGGGUUCAAUUCCCAUUACCCGCA